RNAcentral lists this ribosomal RNA (225 nucleotides) under uncultured bacterium. Its description in RNAcentral is "partial 16S ribosomal RNA". It matches the Rfam family "Bacterial small subunit ribosomal RNA", at positions 114 to 334 of the family's 1533-position model. The record is from RNAcentral.
AACGUGGGUAACCUGCCCAUCAGAAGGGGAUAACACUUGGAAACAGGUGCUAAUACCGUAUAACACUAUUUUCCGCAUGGAAGAAAGUUGAAAGGCGCUUUUGCGUCACUGAUGGAUGGACCCGCGGUGCAUUAGCUAGUUGGUGAGGUAACGGCUCACCAAGGCAACGAUGCAUAGCCGACCUGAGAGGGUGAUCGGCCACACUGGGACUGAGACACGGCCCAG